AGAGUUUGAUCCUGGCUCAGGAUGAACGCUAGCGGCAGGCCUAACACAUGCAAGCCGAGGGGUAACAGGGGAUUCGUCCUGCUGACGACCGGCGCACGGGUGAGUAACGCGUAUGCAACCUACCCUUUACAGAGGGAUAGCUUCCGGAAACGGAAAUUAAUAUCUCAUAGUAUUUUCGAUUCACCUGGAUUGAUUAUUAAAACUUCGGUGGUAAAGGAUGGGCAUGCGUGCCAUUAGUUAGUUGGUGAGGUAACGGCUCACCAAGACUGUGAUGGCUAUGGGGUCUAAAAGGAUGGUCCCACACACUGGUACUGAGACACGGACCAGACUCCUACGGGAGGCAGCAGUGAGGAAUAUUGGUCAAUGGGUGAAAGCCUGAACCAGCCAUGCCGCGUGCAGGAUGACGGCCCUAGUGGUUGUAAACUGCUUUUACAUGAGAAGAAUAAUAGCUACGUGUAGUUAUAUGCCUGUAUCAUGAGAAUAAGCAUCGGCUAACUCCGUGCCAGCAGCCGCGGUAAUACGGAGGAUGCGAGCGUUAUCCGGAUUUAUUAGGUUUAAAGGGUGCGUAGGCUGUAUUGUAAGUCAGUGGUGAAAUCUUUCGGCUUAACCGGAAAACUGCCAUUGAUACUGCAUUACUUGAGUAUAGUUGAGGUAGGCGGAAUGUGUAAUGUAGCGGUGAAAUGCAUAGAUAUUACACAGAACACCGAUUGCGAAGGCAGCUUACUAAGCUAUUACUGACGCUGAUGCACGAAAGCGUGGGGAGCGAACAGGAUUAGAUACCCUGGUAGUCCACGCUGUAAACGAUGAGCACUCGCUGUAGGCGAUACACAGUCUGUGGCUGAGCGAAAGCAUUAAGUGCUCCACCUGGGGAGUACGUCGGCAACGAUGAAACUCAAAGGAAUUGACGGGGGCCCGCACAAGCGGUGGAACAUGUGGUUUAAUUCGAUGAUACGCGAGGAACCUUACCUGGGUUUAAAUUUAGAAUGACGAGUUUUGAAAGAGACUCUCCCUUCGGGGCAUUUUAGAAGGUGCUGCAUGGCUGUCGUCAGCUCGUGCCGUGAGGUGUCGGGUUAAGUCCCAUAACGAGCGCAACCCCUAUCGCUAGUUGCCAACGAGUAAUGUCGGGGACUCUAGCGAGACUGCCACCGUAAGGUGUGAGGAAGGUGGGGAUGACGUCAAGUCAGCACGGCCCUUACGUCCAGGGCUACACACGUGUUACAAUGGCCGGUACGAAGGGCAGCUACAUGGUGACAUGAUGCUAAUCUCUAAACCCGGUCCCAGUUCGGAUCGAAGUCUGCAACUCGACUUCGUGAAGCUGGAAUCGCUAGUAAUCGCGUAUCAGCAACGACGCGGUGAAUACGUUCCCGGGCCUUGUACACACCGCCCGUCACCAUGGGAGUUGGUUGCACCAGAAGUAGGUAGCUUAACCUUCGGGAGGGCGCUUACCACGGUGUGGUCAAUGACUGGGGUGAAGUCGUAACAAGGUA
Molecule: ribosomal RNA, 1487 nt
Filed under: metagenome
Description: bacterial SSU rRNA
Rfam family: Bacterial small subunit ribosomal RNA
Source: RNAcentral